RNAcentral lists this ribosomal RNA (108 nucleotides) under Fukomys damarensis (Damara mole-rat). The record is from RNAcentral. Lineage: Eukaryota; Metazoa; Chordata; Mammalia; Rodentia; Bathyergidae.
GUCUACUGCCAUACCACCCUGAACGCGCCCAAUUUUGUCUGAUCUCGGAAACUAAGCAGGGUUGGGCCUGGUUAGUACUUGGAUGGGAGUAUCUGCUUUCUCUAUUCU